CCUACGGGUGGCAGCAGUAGGGAAUGUUGCGCAAUGGGCGAAAGCCUGACGCAGCAACGCCGCGUGAUUGAGACGCUCUUCGGGGUGUAAAGAUCUGUUAGUGGGGACGAAACUUGACGGUAACCACAGAGGAAGCACCGGCUAAAUCCGUGCCAGCAGCCGCGGUAAUACGGGGGGUGCAAGCGUGGUCCGGAAUCAUUGGGCGUAAAGAGUUCGUAGGCGGCACGUCAAGUAUGGUGUUAAAGGCAUAGGCUCAACUUCUGUACGGCACGGGAUACUUGCGAGCUAGAGUGCGUUAGAGGUAAGGGGAAUUCCUGGUGUAGCGGUGAAAUGCUUAGAUAUCAGGAGGAACAUCGGUGGCGUAGGCGCUUUACUGGGCCGUAAUUGACGCUGAGGAACGAAAGCCAGGGUAGCAAAUGGGAUUAGAUACCCUGGUAGUC
RNAcentral lists this ribosomal RNA (440 nucleotides) under uncultured bacterium. RNAcentral's name for it is "partial 16S ribosomal RNA". It matches the Rfam family "Bacterial small subunit ribosomal RNA", at positions 338 to 795 of the family's 1533-position model. The record is from RNAcentral.